Molecule: RNA transcript, 2691 nt
Organism: Propithecus coquereli (Coquerel's sifaka)
Lineage: Eukaryota; Metazoa; Chordata; Mammalia; Primates; Indriidae
Gene name: ATPase family AAA domain-containing protein 3
Exons: 16
Source: RefSeq, a predicted model, not a curated record
GUCGCGCCUGCGCAGUGUCUUUGCCCGGCGCGUGGAGGCUGUUCCGAGCCGCGCGCUAGUUACGUUCGGGUCCGAGUUCCGCGGCUGCGGCGGCGUGCGGCGCUCCCCGGUCAUGUCGUGGCUUUUCGGCCUCAACAAGGGCCCCAAGGGCGAAGGCGCGGGGCCGCCGCUGCCCUUGCCGCCCGCGCAGCCCGGAGCCGAGGGCGGCGGGGACCGCGGCGUGGGAGACCGGCCGGCGCCCAAGGACAAAUGGAGCAACUUCGACCCGACGGGCCUGGAGCGCGCGGCCAAGGCGGCGCGCGAGCUGGAGCACUCGCGCCACGCCAAGGACGCGCUGCAUCUCGCACAGAUGCAGGAGCAGACACUCCAGCUGGAACAGCAGUCCAAGCUCAAGGAGUACGAGGCCGCGGUGGAGCAGCUGAAGAGCGAGCAGAUCCGUGUGCAGGCCGAGGAACGGAGGAAGACUCUGAGCGAGGAGACACGGCAGCACCAGGCUAGGGCCCAGUACCAGGACCAGCUGGCCCGGCAGCGCUACGAGGACCAGCUCAGGCAGCAGCAACAUCUCAACGAGGAGAACUUACGAAAGCAGGAGGAGUCUGUGCAGAAGCAGGAGGCCAUGCGGCGAGCCACCGUGGAGCGGGAGAUGGAGCUUCGGCACAAGAACGAGAUGCUGCGUGUGGAGGCUGAGGCCCGAGCUCGGGCCAAGGCCGAGCGGGAGAACGCGGACAUCAUCCGAGAGCAGAUCCGCCUGAAGGCUGCCGAGAGGCGCCAGACCAUCCUGGAGUCCAUCCGGACAGCUGGAGCCCUGUUUGGGGAAGGAUUUCGUGCCUUCGUGACAGACUGGGACAGAGUGACGGCCACGGUGGCUGGGCUGACGUUGCUGGCUCUCGGGGUCUAUUCUGCCAAGAACGCCACGGCGGUCGCUGGCCGGUUCCUCGAGGCCCGGCUGGGCAAGCCGUCCCUGGUGAGGGAGACCUCCCGCAUCACAGUGCUAGAGGCGCUGAGGCACCCCGUCCAGGUCAGCAGGCGGCUCCUCAGCAGGCCUCAGGAUGCACUGGAGGGCGUCGUCCUCAGCCCCAGCCUGGAGGCGCGGGUGCGGGACAUCGCUAUAGCAACAAGGAACACCAAGAAGAACAAAAGCCUGUACAGGAACAUUCUGAUGUACGGACCCCCAGGGACUGGCAAGACGCUGUUUGCCAAGAAACUCGCUCUGCACUCGGGCAUGGACUACGCCAUCAUGACAGGCGGGGACGUGGCCCCCAUGGGGCGGGAAGGUGUGACCGCCAUGCACAAGGUCUUCGACUGGGCCAGCACCAGCCGGCGAGGCCUCCUGCUCUUCGUGGACGAGGCGGACGCCUUCCUCAGGAGGCGCGCGACCGAGAAGAUAAGUGAGGACCUCCGGGCGACCCUGAACGCAUUCCUGCACAGGACAGGCCAGCACAGCAGCAAGUUCAUGCUGGUCCUGGCCAGCAACCAGCCCGAGCAGUUCGACUGGGCCGUCAACGACCGCAUCGACGAGAUGGUCAGCUUCGGCCUGCCGCAGCGAGAGGAGCGGGAGCGCCUGGUGAGAAUGUAUUUUGACAAGCAUGUUCUUAAGCCGGCCACGGAAGGAAAGCAGGGCCUUAAGGAAAUCCUGCGCCCGGAGCCACACCCAGGCCUGCACGGCAGGUGAUGGCUGAUGGCGGACGCCUUUGGAGGGAGACGCUUGGCUUCAGCCUUCAGACUCCCCAAAACCGGCAGGUGGUUAGAGAAGAAGCCCCUGGGCACCCCCGCCCCGCUCACCCUGAGUCUGCACGAGCAGAGCUGCUCUAUUUCCAGCCCUCUCCAGGGGAUGCGGUCACAGCGCCGCACUCACGUCCUUGUGUGUGCCUGACCCACAUCCCUCCUGUUGUAGCGAUGACAGAAGCUGCUCUCUGUUCUAGAAAGGACUUGGCUCACCCCACCGUUCCCUCUGCCGCUGCCUGUGGGUGCCUGUGAGCCCCACUCUCUGGCCUUUGGGUUCCCUUUGCUCGUCUUCCGUUUGCCGCAGCUCCCACUCUCCCGCCCGGUUGCUGCCCCAACACCUAGCCCGGCUUCUGUGACCUUCUCACAAAGGCUUCCUUGGCCUUCAGUCAGACUUCGUUGCUGGGGUGGGUGGGGUGUUCUCCGUGUGGUCAGCGUCACUGUCGGGUGAGGACUGGACUGCCGUGCGCUGUUGGGUGCAGUGUAGGGGGGUCUCGGGGCUGACCCCCCACCGACCUGCCCCCAGGCCCCCCAGGGGCUCCAGGAGGAAGGAAGAGCCCACUGUGUCGGGAAGGAGGGUGGGGGUGUUGGGCAGGGUUUGGCUCCCCAGGCACAGUCCCCCCAAUCCUAGCACAGGAGGGGGCCUGGUGCCUGUCUUCCUGCCCCGCGCCACGUGGGAGUCUGGCGACCUCAGGCCCCAGCCCCAGGCCCCACUUGGGAACUCCUCCUCCAGGCGCUUGAAGCUGGCCCAGUUUGACUACGGGAGGAAGUGCUCGGAGAUCGCCCGGCUGACGGAGGGCAUGUCGGGCCGCGAGAUCGCCCAGCUUGCGGUGGCGUGGCAGGCCAUGGCCUACGCCUCCGAGGACGGGGUCCUCACCGAGGCCAUGAUGGACGCCCGCGUGCAGGACGCGCUGCAGCAGCACCAGCAGAAGAUGCGGUGGCUGAAGGCCGCGGGGCCCGGGCCCGAGG